CACAGGGGGAGCUGCCCUUUCCAGCACAGAGCAGGGAGAGGCUGGAGGGGCAGCCCUGUCUGCCCUUCGCUUUCAGGUGACCUGGGUGCAUUGCUGAGAUGGUGGAUCAGCAACUCCAGCCAUUUUGUCUUUGUCCACCAUUCACUGGUGGCAACAGGAAGCUUGUCACAGAUUUCAGUGGACAUGGUGUGAAGUCUAAAGCUUUGCUGGAAUCUUCUUCUGCCUUAUGAAAGAAACUGCCCUCUUCUGAAACAGCCUCCUGCUCAGAUUUAAAGUCAAGACACAUCCUCUCCCUUAAGAUCAAUACUCAGAGGUGAGGAAUAUCAUUCUGCUGCAAAGGAAAAGGCAAGAACAAUCCAUUGGAGAAGAAGAAGAAGAUGGUAACAUCUGUUUCAGGAAGCUGUGAGUACUGUAAUAUAAUUUCCAAGGUCUGUCUGAAUCAGUUUAUGGCAUACCAGUGAAUAAUUUUACCGUUCGUUCAGCUGUUCUUACAUAGAUGUUGCCAUUCAAAACAACAUCUAUGUGAGAUGAUGUUGUUCUUCUUAGCCUGGGAAUAUAAAGAGGGUGUUACAAUUUAAUUUUUUUUCCUUAAGUGAACUGACCAUCCAGUGGCCUUGAAAAAUCAUCAAAAGCUUUUGGAAGUGUGACAUGUCUCCAAAGGAUUGAUCCCAUCUUUUGGCUACAGAAGACAGGCUCAGAGCUUGCAGAACCAGGCAUCAGUAGCAGGAGUAGGAAGAGUACAGAAACAAGAGGGCAAGGCCAUGGAGGGAAAAGCACAUUAACGAAUUUGUGCCAGCAGAAGACUUCUGGGCAUCUCCAUUAAUAACAUGAGUAAUGAAAACUUCAGGUGUCCCUGGCCAGAGCUUGAAAAUGAAUCUUUCUUCAUUGUGUAUUUAUGUAAAAGCUGAGGUGAAGCUGAUUAGAAGUGAGGGAAAGUUGUGAGAUUAGAAGGUUUUAUAACAGGCCCUAACUAAGCAGAAACAAGUGCUUCUGUGUCAACACAAACACAGUUUUAUGCCUGAGCAAACAGCAUCCUGUGGUCUGUGAGGCAAUGACACAAGCCUGGUAACACUGAGAGUGGUCCAAGCCAUCUGAUCCACCCCUGUGUGAAGGUUGAAUUCCACCUGUAAUGCCCUUCGUAAGUAGGGGUGUGACACUGGGUCACCAAUAGUCUUUGCAAUGCCUGUUACUAACUCUGCUGCAUGCCACAGUGAUUGGAGGAGACCACAAGUAGUCCUGGCAGGUAUUCAAAACUGUUUUCCAGUUAAUUUGUUAAAAAUCAACCCAGAGUUUUGUGGGCAGUAAAGCUGCUAGGAAGAGAAAACCACUCUAAGGAAUAAACACUACAAAAAAGAGCUUUCA
This 1362-nucleotide long non-coding RNA is filed under the name Lonchura striata (white-rumped munia). Its description in RNAcentral is "domestica (Bengalese finch) lncRNA (ENSLSDG00000017544.1)". Lineage: Eukaryota; Metazoa; Chordata; Aves; Passeriformes; Estrildidae. The record is from RNAcentral.